This 549-nucleotide ribosomal RNA is filed under the name uncultured Desulfobacteraceae bacterium. RNAcentral describes it as "bacterial SSU rRNA". It matches the Rfam family "Bacterial small subunit ribosomal RNA", at positions 65 to 596 of the family's 1533-position model. The record is from RNAcentral. Lineage: Bacteria; Pseudomonadati; Thermodesulfobacteriota; Desulfobacteria; Desulfobacterales; Desulfobacteraceae.
UCCGAACUUGCUUUGGGCGAGUAAAGUGGCGCACGGGUGAGUAACGCGUGGGUAAUCUACCUUUGAAUUUGGGAUAACACUUCGAAAGGGGUGCUAAUACCGGAUAAUAUCUUUUUCAUUGCGGUGGAGAAGAUCAAAGAUGGCCUCUUCUUGAAAGCUAUUGUUUGAAGAUGAGCCCGCGUACCAUUAGCUUGUUGGUGGGGUAAUGGCCUACCAAGGCGACGAUGGUUAGCUGGUCUGAGAGGAUGAUCAGCCACACUGGAACUGGAACACGGUCCAGACUCCUACGGGAGGCAGCAGUGAGGAAUUUUGCGCAAUGGGGGAAACCCUGACGCAGCAACGCCGCGUGAGUGAUGAAGGCUUUCGGGUCGUAAAGCUCUGUCAAGUGGGAAGAAGUUGUGUAUGGCUAAUAUCUGUGCACAUUGACGGUACCACUGAAGGAAGCACCGGCUAACUCCGUGCCAGCAGCCGCGGUAAUACGGAGGGUGCAAGCGUUAUUCGGAUUUCUGGGCGUAAAGGGCGCGUAGGCGGCUUGAUAAGUCAGUCGUG